UGUUCUUCGAACAUGUCUUUAUAUUCUGUUUCAUAUGUCAUGUCAUAAUCAAAAAUUGAAUUGAAAAAAUGAAUUUUUGGGACGCCGUACUUGUGCAAAUUACAUUUGUGAAUAGUGAAAAGGGACAGACAUCAUAAAAAUGUAUAAUCUAAUUGUGAAUGAGUUUGACAUGAAGGAAGAAAAAUGUGAACUUCCGUAUAUACUAACACAAAGAUUAGA
This is a non-coding RNA of Caenorhabditis elegans, 219 nucleotides long. NCBI's taxonomy places the organism in Eukaryota, Metazoa, Nematoda, Chromadorea, Rhabditida, Rhabditidae. The record is from Ensembl.